Molecule: unclassified non-coding RNA, 208 nt
Filed under: Glomeromycetes sp.
Lineage: Eukaryota; Fungi; Glomeromycota; Glomeromycetes
Description: partial contains 5.8S ribosomal RNA and internal transcribed spacer 2
Rfam family: 5.8S ribosomal RNA (bases 1-71)
Source: RNAcentral
GUGAAUCAUCAAAUUUUUGAACGCAAAUUGCGCUUCCUGGUAUCCCGGGAAGUAUGCCUGUUUGAGGGUCAGUAGUAAUAAAAAAUCGGUCUAGUUACAAAUUGUGACGUUUCCGGCUUUUGGGCUAUCUUAACAUUUUUGGUUAAGAGGCGUAAAAUUGACCUUGUUUGCGAAUUCUUAAACGUACUUACAUUUUUUUUAUCCGUCU